RNAcentral lists this ribosomal RNA (430 nucleotides) under Pseudomonadota bacterium. Its description in RNAcentral is "Proteobacteria bacterium partial 16S ribosomal RNA". It matches the Rfam family "Bacterial small subunit ribosomal RNA", at positions 355 to 776 of the family's 1533-position model. The record is from RNAcentral. Lineage: Bacteria; Pseudomonadati; Pseudomonadota.
UGGGGAAUAUUGGACAAUGGGGGGAACCCUGAUCCAGCCAUGCCGCGUGUGUGAAGAAGGCCUUAUGGUUGUAAAGCACUUUAAGCGAGGAGGAGGGUACUGGUAUUAAUACUACCAGCUACUGGACGUUACUCGCAGAAUAAGCACCGGCUAACUCUGUGCCAGCAGCCGCGGUAAUACAGAGGGUGCGAGCGUUAAUCGGAUUUACUGGGCGUAAAGCGUGCGUAGGCGGCUAAUUGAGUCGGAUGUGAAAUCCCCGAGCUUAACUUGGGAAUUGCAUUCGAUACUGGUUAGCUAGAGUGUGGGAGAGGAUGGUAGAAUUCCAGGUGUAGCGGUGAAAUGCGUAGAGAUCUGGAGGAAUACCGAUGGCGAAGGCAGCCAUCUGGCCUAACACUGACACUGAGGUGCGAAAGCGUGGGGAGCAAACAGG